CUCGAUAUGUCCGAUUUUAAAAUAGCUUUUCGGUGAAAGCACAUUUUGCAAUAUUCUGAGUAGAUAGCCCGGCAUCACAGGGCUAGCUAUUUAGACACCCAGCAAGUUUAGCACUCACCAAAGUCAGAUUUACUAUAAGAAAAAUGUUAUUACCUUUGGUGUUCUUCGUCAGAAUGCACUCCCAGGACACUAUCCAAAUAGUGGCGUUUUGUUCGUGCGUUCAAUACACUAUCCGAAAGGGUAAAUAAGGGUUACGCGCACGACGCAUUUCGUGACAAAAAAAUUCGAAAUAUUCCAUUACCGUACUUCGAAGCAUGUCAACCGAUGUUUAAAAUCAAUUUUUAUGCCAUUUUUCUCGUAAAAAAGCGAUAAUAUUCCGACCGGGAAUCUGUGUUUAGGUUCAGAGACGAACGAAAAUAAAAACAUGUGGUCGACUCAUGCACGCGCCUAAGCCCAUUGUCCUCUGAUAGAGCACUUGCCAAAAGCGCUAAUGUGUUUCAGCCUGGGGCUGGAAUUACAUCAUUCAGCAUUUUCCCGCCUUCUGAGAGCCUAUGGGAGCCGUAGGAAGUGUCACGUUACAGCAAAGAUCCUCAGUCUUCAAUAAACAGAGUCAAGAAGCUCAAGGAAUGGUCAGACAGGCCACUUCCUGUAAGGAAUCUUCUCAGGUUUUUGCCUGCCAUAUGAGUUCUGUUAUACUCACAGACACCAUUCAAACAGUUUUAGAAACUUUAGGGUGUUUUCUAUCCAAAGCCAAUAAUUAUAUGCAUAUUCUAGUUACUGGGCAGGAGUAGUAACCAGAUUAAAUCGGGUACGUUUUUUAUCCGGCCGUGCAAAUACUGCCCCCUAUCCCCAACAGGUUAAUACUGGUAGUAGUGGAGGUGGUUGUGGUGGUGAUAGUGGAGGUGGUAGUAGUGGUGGAGGUGGUAGUAGAUGAGGUGGUAGUAGUGGUGGUGGCGGUAGUAGUGGAGGUGGUAGUAGUGGUGGUGGUGGUGGUGGUAAUAGUGGAGGUGGUAGUAGUGGAGGUGGUAGUAGUGGUGGUAGUAGUGGUGGUAGUAGUGGAGGUGGUAGUAGUGGUGAAAUCAGCUCUUUUUUUGUGGAUUUAAUACUUUUCUUUUUCGUGGUUUUCUAUGUUUUGCUCUGCCUGUCCCUCCUUUUCUGAGUUAUUGCAGACUCCUCCACUUGGCUGGUCUCCAUGGAGACUGAGUUGGCCCUGGUCUGCCAAACCUGGCCCUGAUUGAUUUAAUGACUUACCACACAGCUGAAAAAGGAUCGUUCAGCUUCAGUCUUGUCCUUUGCUUUAGGGAGAACAGCAAUGCCGAACCGCUGCUGCUGCCACUACCGUCACCGGGACCAUGUCACACCCAGCCACCGAUGAUGACCUGUAGCCAGAGGGGGGCCAAACGUUUGGUCGAGUGGUCGGAAAAACGUCUGUUCAGAACGGAUCCCUGCUCAUUGCAUGUGAAACCUGACACUUCAAGUCAGCUGACGGAGUGGUAGCAGGAGAGAGCAGACAGGCGGGGUUUUCCAGCACUAUAAGGCAUUGGACCCUACGACGUUCACAGGGCACUUUGUACACCCACAAUGUCAGUCACAACUGGGCCAGAACAGCUCAAAGUCCCCUAUAUAGGGGACUUAAACGUUUCAGUAAAGAACAUUUAAAAGAAAAAAGCUUUACAACCUUUUCUGUGUGUUGGCCUGGGAUUUGGAACGUGUUUUUUUUUUACACUUGAUGGCAGUAGACAUAUGCUUUGACAAAAUGUUUAAUGGUGGAUGCACAUCAAAGAAAAGUUCAACAAAACGGUGUCAGCUCAGCUGUCAACAGUGAAUCCAGAAGGCAUAGUACCAAUAUGAACCAGAUCAAACAGGACAGCGGGAGAUGAAUGAAUGAGGGAAUGAACUAAGGCCAGGGAGAGGUAAAUAAAUGUGGGAUGAGGUAAUGCACAAAAGGAUCAUUAUCAGGUUAAUACCAGAUUAAAUGGACAGAGAUGUAAAUACGGAGGUGAUCAGGAGCCGAUCAAUAUCUUCAUGCUUCCCUCCAGGACUAGCUUCCCUCCAGGACUAGCUUCCCUCCAGGACUAGUUUCCCUCCAGGACUAGUUUCCUUCCAGGAC
RNAcentral lists this long non-coding RNA (2110 nucleotides) under Salmo salar (Atlantic salmon). Its description in RNAcentral is "lncRNA (ENSSSAG00000112038.1, ENSSSAG00020058628.1)". The record is from RNAcentral. Lineage: Eukaryota; Metazoa; Chordata; Actinopteri; Salmoniformes; Salmonidae.